AGUAAUUUAUUACUAAGGGGUUUGUUAAUAAAUGGGUAAUUGUUUAAUUAGAUUUUUAUGAAAAAUUUAAAGUAUUAAUUUGUUUACAUAAAUUAAAUAAAAGAUUAAAAAUUAUUUUGGAUUUGAAUUAUGUUUUUGGUGUGAAAGUAUAUAAUAGUUAGGUUUUAAAAAAAAAUUGAUAAAUAAACUGGAAGGGGGAAUAUUAUAAAUGAAAUAGUAAUUGAUUGUACUUUUUGCAUAAUGGGCUUAUGAUUAAAAGUUAAUUUAAAGUCUCUAAGUAAAUUGAUCUAAAUUUUUAUUAAUGAAGUUGUUGCAAAAGUGAUUUAAUGGAGAUUUUGAAGUGAAACGCUGACGAAAUUUGUGAUAUAUGGUUCUAUUAUAAUUACUAUAGGUAAGAUAAUUAUGUUUAUUUAUAUAUUAUUGGAUCAGCAAUGAUAUUAAUAUUAAGUAUGUAUGUUUAAUGUAUAGGAAUAAGGGUUAAGAUAAAUUUUAGUUUAGGUAAAAAUAAUGUAAGUUUUAGUAUAUUUAUAAAUAUUAAUUUUAGGAAUUAGGCAAAAGUUGUUUCAUCUGUUUAUCAAAAACAUAGCUUUUUGGAAAUAUAAAAGGUGAUUUCUGCUCAAUGAUAUUAAAUAGCCAUAGUAUUUAUGACUAUGCAAAGGUAGCAUAAUCAUUUGUCUUAUAAAUUAAGACUGGAAUGAAUGGAUAUAUUGGGGCAAUUCUUUCUUAGAUUAAUGAGUAAAAGUAAAUUUUUUAGUGAGGAAGCUAAAAUUUUGUUGAGGGACGAGAAGACCCUAUUAAGCUUAAUAAAAUUAUUUUGUUGGGGAAACAAAAGAAAAAAAUUUCUUUUUUCAAAAAUUUUUUGAUAAAUUUUUUGAUUCACUAUUGGUGAAUAAUAGAACAAGUUACUAUAGGGAUAACAGCAUAAUAUUUUUUAAAAGUUCAUAUUGACAAAAAAGGUUAUGACCUCGAUGUUGGAUUAAAAUUAUUAUAUGAUGUAGUUGUUGUAUAAAUUAGUCUGUUCGACUAUUAAAAUUUUACAUGAUCUGAGUUCAAAUCGGUGUAAGCCAGAUUGGUUUCUAUCUUCAGAUAGUUUCGUGUUAGUACGAAAGGACCACAUGAAGUUUUUUGAGAAGUUA
Molecule: ribosomal RNA, 1136 nt
Filed under: Epiperipatus biolleyi
Lineage: Eukaryota; Metazoa; Onychophora; Udeonychophora; Euonychophora; Peripatidae
Description: large subunit ribosomal RNA
Rfam family: Archaeal large subunit ribosomal RNA (bases 776-1084)
Source: RNAcentral